GAUGAACGCUGGCGGCGUGCCUAAUACAUGCAAGUCGAACGAACAGACCAUGCGCUUGCUCCUCUCACGUUAGCGGCGCACGUGUGUGUAACACGUGGAUACCCUCCCUAUAAUACUGGGAUAACUUCGGGAAACCGGCUCUAAUACCGGAUAAUCUAUUGCACCACAUGGUGCAAUAGUGAAUGACGGUUUUUCUGUCACUUAUAGAUGGUUCCCGGCCUCAUUAGCUAGUUGGUAAGGUAACGGCUUACCACGGCGACGAUGCGUAGCCGACCUGAGAGGGGGAUCGGCCACACUGGAGCGGGGACACGGACCAGACUACUACGGGAGGCAGCAGUAGGGAACCGUCCGCAAUAGGCGAAAGCCUGACGGAGCAACGCCGCGUGAGUGAUGAAGGUCUUCGGAUCGUAAAACUCUGUUAUUAGGGAAGAACAAAUGUGUAAGUAACUAUGCACGUCGUGACGGUACCUAAUCAGAAAGCCACGGCUAACUACGUG
This 497-nucleotide ribosomal RNA is filed under the name uncultured bacterium. Its description in RNAcentral is "partial 16S ribosomal RNA". It matches the Rfam family "Bacterial small subunit ribosomal RNA", at positions 28 to 507 of the family's 1533-position model. The record is from RNAcentral.